This is a long non-coding RNA of Drosophila sulfurigaster albostrigata, 2325 nucleotides long. RefSeq lists it as uncharacterized. The record is from RefSeq and is a predicted model, not a curated record. The transcript has 3 exons. NCBI's taxonomy places the organism in Eukaryota, Metazoa, Arthropoda, Insecta, Diptera, Drosophilidae.
AUAUUAGGUAUUCAAGAUACGAAUUAGAAGGAGAAAUACAUCUAGUUAUACGUCUCUUAACUUACUUGAAAGUUAGCUAAGAAGUCUUUUCAAUACUGGCCUGAUUAUUCUUGAUACUUAGCUCGUACAAUUGAGAAUAUUUUCGCUAAACUGGACGUGGGCGUCAAGUGACCAAUCACACGGAUUAAUUGCUUGGCGAUAAGCAAAGCUCACCAGACACAAACCAGCAGCUCGGGAGUCGGGAGUGUGGCCUCUAUGAACUGGCAAACGCGCGUGCUCAAAUAAAUCAUUUCUAAGACAUGGCAGGCAGCCGGAGGGAAGCAGACACUCGUUGGGCAAUCCAUGGCGAUCUCAUUUCAAGUGCAAAAGUGCCGCAAGUGGCAAAGAAACUACCAGGCUGAAAAGGUGACUGCCACAACAAUUGUGGGUGUAACAAAUUCGCCGUCCAAUCGCGACCAAAUCGUAAACGACCAGCGAACACACAAGACAGAACAAGACCCCAGACCCCAACUCUCGCGAUCCAACAGUCUCUCAGUCUUGGACCCAACGCGAAUUCAAACUUCCCAUUCCCAGCUCGUAUGUGGCAUGGGGGCAGCAGCAGGGACAGCGAUCGCUUCUCACCCUGUCCAGAAUAUUGGCAAAGUGAAAGCCGCUCUGUUCACUGCAAGGAUGAAACAAGAGAGUGUGAGAGAGGGAGGGGGAAUCGGACAGACAGUCAAGGAUUACAAUUUAGACACCGGAAAACAAUGAAAUUGACAGCGCAUAAGCUUUGGGCGAUCAUCUGCUCAACCAUUUAGUGGAUAUUUGUUGAGAAUUCUUUGCGGCGCUGUCUUUUUAUCAAUCUAAAAGUGGUAACACUCAACUGCCGCGUUCUUAGUUGUUAAGAAUAUUUACAUGCAUUAGGCAAGAUCAUAAAUAAGGAAAUGUGUACGCCGUAGAUGAAGAUAAAUAAGCAGUUGGUACGAAGCAAUACGUCAUAUAUAACACGCCACGGUGCCAAAAAAAAAAACACACAAAAAAAGUAAACAAUGAAAUACAAUAGAGGAGUGAGUUGAGGUAGCGGGAGAAUAAAAAUGGGAAUUGAAAAAUCCUUCACCUUCGUUAAUACAAAUGACGCCCCAUGAGACCAGGGAACAUCGCGGGAAGAGACUCAACUAAACAACAGACUGCACACGUACAAGCACACGCACUACAACAACAACAGCAACAACAACGACAGGAAAAGAAUGGAUAAGAAACCUCCCGGAUAUGUUCGAGCGGAAGCUGAGAAAGUAGCAAAGUCCACAAAAAAGUAUAUGGAGAAUAAGAAGAAGAAGUUGAGAAGCAACGAAAAAAAAUCAUUUACAUGUGACGGGGGGAGACAAUGCGUAGAGGGAUGAUUAUUAAAUGGGUGGCAUGUUUAACUAUAAAACGAGACGCCGAUGAGCUUGAGGAUGAAGAGGACAAGGGUGGGUGCCAAUGACGGACAGCUCGGGAUUUGCAUGUGCGCUCAGAGGGGAGCUGGAGUGGGGAGUACUGGAUUCCACACUGGAAUGAGCACAGACAGGGGGUCUCAACUUGUUCGACUGAAUGGACACGAAGGAGGCUGGGCUGACGAAGAACUUGGACAGACUAUUGGUGUGACAAGCAGCUGCUAUGGCUGUGAGUCGUAAGUGCGCCACUUGAAACCGCCUUAAAGUGUGUACAGUACAGAGUAGAGUACAGUGUCCUGGGUAGAGCAGGGAAGCAGAAGUAGAAGCCGAAGCAAAAGCAGUAACAGCAAAAGCAAAAGCAGAUUCAGCAGCCACUGAAUUAUGCAAAAGAUUUACGCGCUUGCCUUCAAGGGACCCAGCAACUUUUUUUGUGGGCGUUAGCGGCCUCAUCCGCCACCCCUCAGUUGCUCCCUUGGCCAUUUGCCGUUAGAGCGUAUAAACUUUGGAGCCGGACGCCAAACGCAUGUGACAGUCAUACACUCAGUUCGCAGAGUGGGAAUUUGCUUGGAGUGCCCACUGUGCGACAGUUGGCAUAGACUGUCGCUGGGCGGUUGUCAGAAACAAAACAACCAAAAUUUGUUUCACAAGCCAACAAAGCUCACAGGAUUACAUAGAAAUGUGCUCAGAAGGCCUAUGGCCAAGUGGUAGGACAAUUCUGAGAAUUUAUUCGAAGAAGCGCGGCAGUUAAUCAUUUCUUUGCGUUUUUCUGCGAAAGUGAGAGCAUGUCAAGAAAAAUAUUAUAUAAUAUUUUAAGUGAAAGCUCCAAAAAAAAACUACUUAAGUUUAUCCAAAGAUGAAAAAUCAUCAUCUGAAAGCAUAGGAUAUAAAAUUAAUUGUAAGUCUAUUUAUAUUG